CCCUUAGAUGUUCUGGGCGGCCCGCGCACUACGUUGGCACUGGCAACAAGAUCCUAGAUCUGGUAUUUCGGGGUAUUCUACCAACUGGUGUCGUGACUGGGAUUAACCCCUGCAAUUAUUGGUUAUGAACGAGGAAUUCCUUGUAAUCACGGUUUAUCAACCCGUGUUGAAUGCGUCCCUGCCCUUUGUACACACCGCCCGUCGCUCCUACCGAUGAAUCGUCCGGUGAAGUUCAUGGAGUCGCGGCUGCUCCAGCUGUUUUCGAAGUGAAAUGGACCUCAUGAUUUAGAGGAAGGAGAAGUCGUAACA
Molecule: ribosomal RNA, 309 nt
Filed under: uncultured eukaryote
Lineage: Eukaryota
Description: partial 18S ribosomal RNA
Rfam family: Eukaryotic small subunit ribosomal RNA
Source: RNAcentral